GUCCCUGUAGCUUAAUGGAUAGAGCAUUGGAUUGCGGAUCCAAAGGUUGGUGGUUCGACCCCACUCAGGGACG
RNAcentral lists this transfer RNA (73 nucleotides) under Candidatus Levyibacteriota bacterium. RNAcentral describes it as "tRNA-Arg". It matches the Rfam family "tRNA". Rfam says of the family: Transfer RNA (tRNA) molecules are approximately 80 nucleotides in length. Their secondary structure includes four short double-helical elements and three loops (D, anti-codon, and T loops). Further hydrogen bonds mediate the characteristic L-shaped molecular structure. tRNAs have two regions of fundamental functional importance: the anti-codon, which is responsible for specific mRNA codon recognition, and the 3' end, to which the tRNAs corresponding amino acid is attached (by aminoacyl-tRNA synthetases). tRNAs cope with the degeneracy of the genetic code in two manners: having more than one tRNA (with a specific anti-codon) for a particular amino acid; and 'wobble' base-pairing, i.e. permitting non-standard base-pairing at the 3rd anti-codon position. Lineage: Bacteria; Candidatus Levyibacteriota. The record is from RNAcentral. RNAcentral also lists the same sequence under 1 other name.